AGACUUCAGCUCCAUGCUGGCUGAGGAAUUCUGGGAGUUGAAGUCCACGAGUCUUAAAGUGGCCAAUGUUGGAGACCCCUAAUCUA
Molecule: non-coding RNA, 86 nt
Organism: Pseudonaja textilis
Lineage: Eukaryota; Metazoa; Chordata; Lepidosauria; Squamata; Elapidae
Source: RefSeq, a predicted model, not a curated record